This is a long non-coding RNA of Sceloporus undulatus (fence lizard), 443 nucleotides long. RefSeq lists it as uncharacterized. The record is from RefSeq and is a predicted model, not a curated record. The transcript has 3 exons. Lineage: Eukaryota; Metazoa; Chordata; Lepidosauria; Squamata; Phrynosomatidae.
GACAGGUUUCUAUGGAAAAGUUGAACUUAAUGCCUCCUGGAUGACCACAGCUCUCCCUUGAUUACUUGAAUACAAAACUCCUAUCACAGGCAUUCUUUCAUCAUCCUCAGCAAUGAGGAAGAAAUAAGAAAAACAAGGAAUGGAAGCAGAGAAUGAAGAGCACAGGAAUCUUGCCACUCAAGGAAAAAAGGAGACAAAGGUCUGAUGCAUCAGCAGAUUAAGAAAAUCUUCAGGAGCCUAAGAGAAGGAAUGGAAGGCCAAGGUUCUGUGAUGUAUUUCCAUAUCCAGUGAUGUAAUUCAAAUCUCAGCAGUGGUACAAUUGCAGUCUAAUAGCAGCAGAAUCUCCCUUUCCUGAUGGAGCUCUUCCUGGCUUCCAAACUCUGCUUCAGAGGAUUGCACAGCCAACCAGAGCAGAUUUUUAGUGUGCACAAGAGGUUGUAAGG